AGAGUUUGAUCCUGGCUCAGGACGAACGCUGGCGGCGUGCCUAACACAUGCAAGUCGAGCGAUGAAGCUCCUUCGGGAGUGGAUUAGCGGCGGACGGGUGAGUAACACGUGGGCAACCUGCCUCAAAGUGGGGAAUAGCCCUCCGAAAGGAGGAUUAAUACCGCAUAACAUGAAGGAAUCGCAUGGUUUUUUCAUUAAAGAUUUAUCGCUUUGAGAUGGGCCCGCGGCACAUUAGCUAGUUGGUGAGGUAACGGCUCACCAAGGCGACGAUGCGUAGCCGACCUGAGAGGGUGAUCGGCCACAUUGGAACUGAGACACGGUCCAGACUCCUACGGGAGGCAGCAGUGGGGAAUAUUGCGCAAUGGGGGAAACCCUGACGCAGCAACGCCGCGUGAGUGAUGAAGGUCUUCGGAUUGUAAAACUCUGUCUCCAGGGACGAUAAUGACGGUACCUGAGGAGGAAGCCACGGCUAACUACGUGCCAGCAGCCGCGGUAA
Molecule: ribosomal RNA, 496 nt
Filed under: uncultured bacterium
Lineage: Bacteria
Description: bacterial SSU rRNA
Rfam family: Bacterial small subunit ribosomal RNA
Source: RNAcentral